AUGACAAAGUGAAAACAGGUUUUUAGACAUUUUUACAAACCUAUAAAACAAAAAAAAACAGAUUGUUUAUUUACAUAAGUAUUCAGAUCCUUUGCUAUGAGGCUCGAUAUUGAGCUCAGGUGCAUCCUGUUUCCAUUGAUCAUCCUUGAGAUGUUUCUACAACUUGAUUGGAGUCCACCUCCAAUCAAGUUGAUUUGAUAUGAUUUGGAAAGGCACAUACCUGUCGAUAUAAGGUCCCACAGUGCAUGUCAGAGCAAAGACCAAGCCAGGAGGUCAAAGGAAUUGUCCGUAGAGCGCAGAGACAGGAUUUUGUCGAGACACAGACCUGGGGAAGGGUACCAAAAAAUGUCUAAAGCAUUGAAGGUCCCCAAAAACACAGUGGCCUCCAUCAUUCUUAAAUGGUAGAAGUUUGGAACCACCAAGAGACUUCCUACAGCUGGCUGCCGUGCCAAACUGAGCAAUCGGGGGAGAAGGGCCUUGGUCAGGGAGAUGACCAAGAACCCGAUGGUCACUCUGACAGAGCUCCAGAGUGUGGAGAUGGGAGAACCUUCCAGAAGGACAACCAUCUCUACAGCACUCCACCAAUCUGGCCUUUAUGGUAUACUGGCCAGAUGGAAGCCACUCCUCAGUAAAAGGCAUAUGACAGCCCACUUGUAGUUGGCCAAAGGCACCUAAAGGACCCUCAAUCCAUGAGAAACAAGACUCUUUGGUCUGAAUAAACCAAAAUGUAACUCUUUGGCAUGAAUGCCCAGCGUCAAAUCUGGAGGAAACCUGGCACCAUCGCUACGUUGAAGCAUGGUGGUGGCAGCAUCAUAAUGUGGGGAUGUUUUUCAGCGGCAUGGACUGGGAGACUAGGUUUAAGGGAAAAAUGAACUGAGCAAAGUACUGCGAGAUGCUUGAUGAAAACCUGCUCCAGAGCACUCAGGACCUCAGACUGGGCCAAAGGUUCACAUAACAACAGGGCAACGACCCUAAGCACACAGCCAAGACAAUGCAGGAGUGGCUUGGGGACAAGUCUCUGAAUGUCCUUGAGUGGCCCAGCCAGAGCCCGGACUUGAACCAAAUCGAACAUCUCCGGAAAGACCUGAAAAUAACGGUGUAGUGACGCUCCCCAUCCAACCUAACAGAGCUUGAGAGGAUUUGCAAAGAAGAAUGGGAGAAACUCCCCAAAUACAGGUGUGCUGAGCUUGCUUGCUUACUUAUUUUAUUUGGCUUUUUAUUUGCAAAAACUUCUAAAAACAUGUUUCUGCUCUAUCAUUAUGGGGUAUUGUGUGUAGAUUGACGCGGGUGGGGAAAAACUAUUCAAUCAAUUUUAGAAUGAGGCUCUAUCGUAACAAUAUGUCUAAAAAGUCAAGGGGUCUAAGUACUUUCCGAAUGCACUGAAUUGUUUGCCAAUUUCUAUUGUGAGGAGAUUGUCAUGCUUUUAAUACAGAUAUCUCUUCAAAGCAAACCCUUCACAAUGCCUCUCACUCUUCCUCUCCUUGAACAUGUACCCUUUUCUCUCCAUCCACCAAAGAAAUCACACCCCCAGUGACAGGGGAACAAUGCAAAUAUGGACUCUCAUUUCAGGCUACAAUUGCUGUGUGAUUGGGUCAUUUUCCAUGGAGGUCAGAGAGACAAUUAAGGCUGGUGUAAUAGGAGUGAUAGGGGAGAGUCAGGGAGAGGGAGCUACAGUGAAAUUGAUGGUGUGCAAUGAGAGAGGGACAGGAGCAGGGUGUUAAACUGAUGGCCUGUGGUGGUACAGUACUGAGACUACUGAAAGCUGAUUUAUGCUUGAUCAGGCUAUGCGGUCAGAGGCUCUAUGGAGGGUGUGCGCAAUUGCGUAACUUCGUUCACCACGCUCUACUGGGCGAAUCUCACAUAGUAUGAAUACCCUGACUCCUUCCGAGUCCAUAUCGCCGGUGGCUAAUUUUACUGGUGGCUAAUUUUGAGUAAUCAAAAAGUUGUGUGUGUCUGUUUUGCUUGUACUGUUUUUCAGGGUUGAGAUUUUACUUUGACUUUUGAUUGGAUUCUACUGAAAGAUCAGAAGCCACAGAUGUAUAGUGCACACUUAAUUACUGUUGUAACAAUAUUAAAUUGAAAUGUACUUUUUACUUCCAGAUCUGUACAGACUGUUCCUGGUAAGGCCAUGCUAAGCAAUGUCUGUGCUGUCUGAUCAUAUUCUAUUAAGGGACCGUUAUUCACAAUAAAUUAUUCUGAAGGUCAGUGCCUCUCUGUAGCUUCGUACGAACCAUCCGGAUCUCGCAAGCUUACAUUUCGCUACACAAAUCCAAACUGGUCAUGACCAGAUUCAAAUCUUUUGAGCCCCUCCAUUCCCUUCAGGGUAUGGCUAGUCCAAUCAGUGUUUUCUGCUAAUCUGUGGGGGUGGUUUAGUUGAAGAUGACAACGAGAAGCGCCUGUAUUGGAAACAGAAGUCGAAAAUCACAACAACAAUAGUUCCUCUUCAGGAGGUUGGCGUUGAUGCUGCUAUAGCAUCAGUUACUGUAUAUCAAAACUGGAGGGCAUAACUUCAUUGAAAGAAAAGCAUAUAACUGCAUUAAAAGAUCAUCUCAGAGGAAAGAUGUUUUCGCUCUUCUCCAGACUGGGUUUGGCAACAGCUUGAUUUACUAGCUAGCUCUGCUGCUAGUCAAGAAAAAGAGACUGAUCAAUGAUCCAAUUUUCAUUGUUGUGUCGCCGUUGGUCGCCUUCAUGGAGUACUAGAUGAGGGAGGGUGCGAAGCUGGGGAUCACUGCUAUGCAGCUCGGUGUAAAUAAUGAGGCGGACAUCCUCCAUGGACGUUGCCAGGUUGUAUCGAGAACCUCAUGGGGAUGAGGUUCAUGUCACAUACAAAUGGUAAAUAUAACUACAUCAUUUUAUAUCAAACGAGUCCAUUCUAUGUUAAACAUUCAUUGGAUUCCUAGCUAGCAGCUCGUUAGCUAGCUAGUGCAUAAGUAACAGACUUUCUCAAAGACAAUAAACUAGUGUAGCUAGCUAACUUUAGACAUGCUCUAACCUCACGUUACAAUGUUACCGAUAGUAAUGGACAGUAUGAUGACUUAUUUUUGCAAGUUCAUAUGUUAUUAUGUAUGUUAUUAUUCUACUUUCUGAUCUAGACUCUAAUGUUGGAUCUUAUUUUCUUUCAACCAGGGAAGAGGGUGCAAAAGGGGAUUAGCCUUCAAAGAGAGCUUUACAAAGCUGGGAGAACUUCGAUCCAUUGCCAAAGAGGGUACACCAGUGUUGCCACUCACAGCAUCAACAUGCAAGAGCAAAUCUGCACAUCAUCAGUGAAGUAUUUGGUAACAUUGACGGUGUAGAGCCUACUUUCCAUCAGGAUAGCUUAACUGAGCCAGAUGAUGAUUACAUUGGUUAAUAUGAUGAGGAAGCUGAGGACUUUGGGAUGGAAAAACAACACAGCAGCUUCGACAGAUAAAUUAAAGGGUCACUUAAACAAACGUGGCACCACUGGUCAGCAGUAGGCCACUAGAACCAAACUGCUAUAACACAACUGUCAUUUUAUGGGGGGGAUGGGACAUUGUUCUAUAUAGAUUUAGUUGAGCGAGAGUUAGUUGAACGACUGUUCAGAAAUGAGACUGUGUUACUAUCUGUAUGUUGUUACUUGUUCAAAAACUGUCAUAAUGUCACGCCCUGGCCAUAGAGAGGCUUUUAUUCUCUAUUUUGGUUAGGCCAGGGUGUGACUAGGGUGGGCAUUCUAGUUUCUUUAUUUCUAUGUUUUGGCCGGGUAUGGUUCUCAAUCAGGAACAGCUGUCUAUGGUUGUCUCUGAUUGGGAAUCAUACUUAGGCAGCCUUUUUCCCACCUGUGUUUUGUGGGUAGUUAUUUUCUGUUUAGCUGUUUAGUUGCCUACACAGAACUGUGCGUGUUUGUUGUCUCUUUGUUAUGGUGUUCAGUAUAAUAAAUAUCAUGAACGCCUA
Long non-coding RNA from Oncorhynchus nerka (sockeye salmon), 3909 nucleotides. RefSeq lists it as uncharacterized. The record is from RefSeq and is a predicted model, not a curated record. Lineage: Eukaryota; Metazoa; Chordata; Actinopteri; Salmoniformes; Salmonidae. The transcript is spliced from 2 exons.